RNAcentral lists this ribosomal RNA (718 nucleotides) under Vagococcus sp. W31. RNAcentral's name for it is "bacterial SSU rRNA". It matches the Rfam family "Bacterial small subunit ribosomal RNA", at positions 52 to 742 of the family's 1533-position model. The record is from RNAcentral. Lineage: Bacteria; Bacillati; Bacillota; Bacilli; Lactobacillales; Enterococcaceae.
UACAUGCAAUUCAAACGCUUUGAUUUUCACCGGAGCUUGCUCCACCGAAAAUCAAAGAGUGGCGGACGGGUGAGUAACACGUGGGCAACCUGCCCAACAGAGGGGGAUAACACUUGGAAACAGGUGCUAAUACCGCAUAAUUUGUUUUCCCGCAUGGGAGAAUAAUAAAAGACGCUUCGGUGUCACUGUUGGAUGGGCCCGCGCUGCAUUAGUUAGUUGGUGGGGUAAUGGCCUACCAAGACCGUGAUGCAUAGCCGACCUGAGAGGGUGAUCGGCCACACUGGGACUGAGACACGGCCCAGACUCCUACGGGAGGCAGCAGUAGGGAAUCUUCGGCAAUGGACGAAAGUCUGACCGAGCAACGCCGCGUGAGUGAAGAAGGUUUUCGGAUCGUAAAACUCUGUUGUUAGAGAAGAACAAGUGGGAGAGUAACUGUUCCCACCUUGACGGUAUCUAACCAGAAAGCCACGGCUAACUACGUGCCAGCAGCCGCGGUAAUACGUAGGUGGCAAGCGUUGUCCGGAUUUAUUGGGCGUAAAGCGAGCGCAGGCGGUUUCUUAAGUCUGAUGUGAAAGCCCUCGGCUCAACCGAGGAAGGUCAUUGGAAACUGGGGAACUUGAAUGCANAANAGGAGAGUGGAANUUCCAUGUGUAGCGGUGAAAUGCGUAGAUUUAUGGAGGAACACCAGUGGCGAAAGCGACUCUCUGGUCUGUAAUUG